Molecule: ribosomal RNA, 253 nt
Filed under: uncultured bacterium
Lineage: Bacteria
Description: partial 16S ribosomal RNA
Rfam family: Bacterial small subunit ribosomal RNA
Source: RNAcentral
UACGGAGGGGGCUAGCGUUGUUCGGAAUUACUGGGCGUAAAGCGCGCGUAGGCGGCUUUGUAAGUCAGAGGUGAAAGCCUGGAGCUCAACUCCAGAACUGCCUUUGAGACUGCAUCGCUAGAAUCAUGGAGAGGUUAGUGGAAUUCCGAGUGUAGAGGUGAAAUUCGUAGAUAUUAGGAGGAACACCAGUUGCGAAGGCGGCUCUCUGGACUGUAACUGACGCUGAGGAGCGAAAGCAUGGGGAGCGAACAGG